RNAcentral lists this long non-coding RNA (922 nucleotides) under Prunus persica (peach). Its description in RNAcentral is "long non-coding RNA (PPER_LNC004034)". Lineage: Eukaryota; Viridiplantae; Streptophyta; Magnoliopsida; Rosales; Rosaceae. The record is from RNAcentral.
AGCAACUUGCCCAAUCAUUGCCCUGCAGCCACUUGGCACAAUCUUCUUCGCACCAGAAGGAAGCUUGAUCCUGUUAAGAACAUGUAAACAGCCAUAAUCAGUUAGUCCCUCACCAAAUAAAUAUAAAACAACGUAGCAAGCAAAUUACAAAUACCAUCUUUGGACAAACACAAUCAACAUAAAACCUUACAAUCAUCAAUGUUAUACCAUUUCAAGUAAAAGACGUUGUGAAAGAAAACAGAGAAGUUAAUGACAAGCUAAAAAGUACAUUCAGUAACAGAUGUCAAAACACGAAUGAUCACAUUGGACAAUCUUCUUAUUUCUUAUUGACAAGCACUUUCUCCCCCUCUAAUUUUCCUUAUUUCAACAAUCUUCUGAACAAUAAGAUAAAUCAAUCAUAAUCUCUAUCAGAAAAAGCACAUUGAUUCAUUGAUUCAUCUAAAAUGAAACGUUGAGACCCAAUCCAUCUAAAAUUCAAAAUCCGAUCUUACUACUACAUUGAUUCAUAUCCACACCACUAUGACUAGCCACCACAAGCAAAAUUCAAAAUGCCACCCAAAUCAAUAAAAUCCAAGAAACAAAACAGCAGCUACUGUCCCUUAAUCUCGGACUGAGUCUGAAUAUACCCAAGUGGGAUUUCCAAAAAAAAUGUCAUCUUUCAUGCUUCAUUAUUGAAAAACAAGCUAUAUUUCAUCAAAGUAGAUAUAAUUACACUUCCGCAAUACCAAAGAAAUUUAUCAAAAGAAAACAAAAUGAUUGAAUAGAGAGAUACCUGGAGGUAUCGUUAUCAGGGUUGUGGCUGAUAACAACAGCGUAGUCACCAGAAGCCCUAGCAAGGGUUCCACGGUCACCAACAUGGUGCUCGACGUUGCAGACUACAGCUCCUUCUGGGAUCGAUCUGAGAGGCAAAACAUUUCCGACG